Molecule: ribosomal RNA, 392 nt
Filed under: uncultured bacterium
Lineage: Bacteria
Description: partial 16S ribosomal RNA
Rfam family: Bacterial small subunit ribosomal RNA
Source: RNAcentral
AUACGGAGGAUGCGAGCGUUAUCCGGAUUUAUUGGGUUUAAAGGGAGCGUAGGCGGGAGCUUAAGUCAGCGGUUAAAUGGUGCGGCUCAACCGUGCCCUGCCGUUGAAACUGGGUUUCUUGAGAGUGCAAGAGGCGGAUGGAAUUCAUGGGGUAGCGGUGAAAUGCUUAGAUAUCAUGAAGAACUCCGAUUGCGAAGGCAGUCCGCUGGGGCACGUCUGACGCUGAUGCUCGAAGGUGCGGGAAUCAAACAGGAUUAGAUACCCUGGUAGUCCGCACGGUAAACGAUGAUUACCCGCUGUCGGCGGCAGACAGUCGGCGGCCAAGCGAAAGCGAUAAGUAAUCCACCUGGGGAGUACGCCGGCAACGGUGAAACUCAAAUGAAUUGGCGGGG